UCAGGAUGAACGCUAGCUACAGGCUAACACAUGCAAGUCGAGGGCAGCAUGGCGAUGCUGCAAUGCCGAUGGCGACCGGCGCACGGGUGAGUGACGCGUAUCCAACCUUCCUGCCAGUAGGGAACAGCCCGGCGAAAGUCGGAUUAAUGCCCUAUGUUCUUCGAAGUGCGGACAUCUAAGUUGAAGGAAAGAUUUAUCGCUGGCAGAUGGGGAUGCGUCCGGUUAGCUUGUUGGCGGGGUAACGGCCCACCAAGGCGACGAUCGGUAGGGGUUCUGAGAGGAAGGUCCCCCACACUGGUACUGAGACACGGACCAGACUCCUACGGGAGGCAGCAGUGAGGAAUAUUGGUCAAUGGGCGAGAGCCUGAACCAGCCAAGUAGCGUGCAGGAGGACGGCCCUACGGGUUGUAAACUGCUUUUAUGCGGGGAUAAAGUGCGGCACGUGUGCCGUUUUGCAGGUACCGCAUGAAUAAGGACCGGCUAAUUCCGUGCCAGCCGCCGC
This 502-nucleotide ribosomal RNA is filed under the name uncultured bacterium. Its description in RNAcentral is "bacterial SSU rRNA". It matches the Rfam family "Bacterial small subunit ribosomal RNA", at positions 24 to 518 of the family's 1533-position model. The record is from RNAcentral.